RNAcentral lists this long non-coding RNA (2601 nucleotides) under Mus musculus (house mouse). RNAcentral describes it as "long non-coding RNA chr4:106582740-106585341". The record is from RNAcentral. Lineage: Eukaryota; Metazoa; Chordata; Mammalia; Rodentia; Muridae.
ACCCAGUUCUGAAUGUCCCUGGGGAAGUGGGUGGAACACCCAGCUAGGCGGAGUUAUAGACCUUACCCGGAAGCUGAGACCUUUCUGAUAAGGGACACAUGUACACAAUUUUCAGAAUGCAGGCUUUCCCUCCUAGACACCACCCUUUCAUUGGCCGCCUUCUUCACCUUGCUCCCAGUAGAAAAGAGCUUUGAAAGAACCCAGUGAACCUGCAUGCUGGGUGAUAAGCCAGCCCAUCCCUCUUCUCAGCCUGACUUGCCCAGACACCUCCCAGCUUCCCAACUUGCAUCACUGAGCAACACCAAAGUCCAGGGCCAGCUAGGUAAGCUGUGGGGCCCACACACAAAGCAGGCCUAUAGUGCCACUGAGCGAGCGUACUAAAACGUAACGCCUUUUCCUUUGUCCUGUCCUGAUGCUUGCAUAGUAAAUACAAAAUUAAUUCUACGUUAUCAGUGGGCAUUUUGCCAUUCAUCUUUUAAAUAUCAAUCUGAGAGUAUUUAACUCUUCCUACUUGUGUAUUUUUUGUUCCUAAGAAUGCAGCACUAGGCCGGGCAGUGGCUCACGCCUUUAAUCCCAGCACUCAGGAGGCAGAGGUAGAGAGUUCUCUGAAUUCAGGGCUAGCCUUGUCUCAGAGUGAGUUCCAUUGUUAGCUAGUAUGUGGGAUUAUCAUAGAUAAGAAAGGAGAUCGGGGAUCCUUGCUCAUCCCUGGGACUCUGCAGCCAGCCCAUCAGAACAGAGGUGGCCAAUAGCAGGCCAGAUGCAAGCCACAAUUGAGUUGUUAAGAGCCCGAGGGAAUUACUUCCCUUGUAGGGAAUGAGUGACUUCUGCGUAUUGGCAGGACCCAGGACAGGAGUAAAGCCAGGGCCAAAGGAUGUGUCAGGAGGUGGCAAAAAGAAGAGCAGUGUUUAAACACUGACUUUCUGUGGCUGACAGUUUCAUCUGAUACAAACCAAUGGACCUGAGAAUCAGGAACAGGCAGGCAUCUCAUGGUGUCUCUCUGUUCACCUUGGAAACAUCAGAGACCUGGGAUAGCACAUUGCUGUCAAGUGUGUAGGGAGCAGUGUUCACCUCUAGUUUCAGAGUACAAGAUGGUGCAAGGAUCUAAAGUAGGGUCCCUUAAAGCUACCCACAAUAUUUAAUCUAGAGUUGUCUGUGUCCAGGAACUUAACAUCAGAAGUACAUGUUGAUGGGCAAAGACAUGUGCCAAGGAUCUUUACUGAUAAUCUCUCAAUGAUCUAAGUGUUCAUAAAUACAGAGCUGCUUAAAUAAGUGGUUCUACAGCUCUGUGGCCUUACUGGUUGCAUUGCUGUGUUCUGAUGCUCAACGCACAACAGUGGGAGCCAAGCUGGUGGUUAAACUCUGCCUGCUGUGUGGGUCAAGCAGAUGGACAGUGGUUGGGCGCUCUCAUAGGAGAGCCCUGACUCCAGGGAUGCCUGAGGGGUGCUACUGGGCUUUUAGCAGUUGGCAUUCAUUGCAGCUUUGGGCUCCCAUUCUUGGGGAAUCUUCGGGAGCUCCCUCUGACUCUGUCCCAGCUCCACUGCUGUCUAGAGUCCUGUACCCUACACUCCGGAGAGAGUGUGUCUUAGUUAGGGCUUCCAUCUCUAUGAAGAGACACCAUAACCAAGGCAACUCUUUUAAAGGACAACAUUUAUUUAAUUGGGGCUGGCUUACAGGCUCAGAGGUUCAGUCCAUCAUCAUCAAGAUGGACACAGCAGCAUCCAAGCAGGCAUGGUGCAGGAGGAACUGAGAGUUCUACAUAUUUAUCCAAGAAAGCCAGGAGCAGACUGUCCCCACGUGGCUAGGAGGAGGGUCUCAAAGUGCCCUACCCUCACCCCCCAGUGACACACUUCCUCCAAAAAGUCCACACCUAUUCCAGCAAGGCCACACCUCCUAAUAGUGCCACUCUCUGGACCUAGCAUAUUCAAGCCACCAUAGUGAGCGUCACAGAACAGCAACCAUGCCAUGAAUGUCUUUGUUUCUGACACCCACCUUUGGUGUCAAGGCUCCGGAGGCUGUGGUACCCUCUGCACGUUGGUGACUUAGGAAGGUAGCCAGGCCUAGAGCUGGGAGGAAUUUUGUGAGCUAGGGAGCUAAGGGUGUGGCUGAGGAAGCAGCUGGCAUUAGAGACAUCUGCCUGUCAGGAUCUCCAGGGAGACCAGGGGAAGCAGGAGAAUGUGAAUGGCUGGCUGUGUGCAAACUAAAUGGAAGGCUCGAUGUGGAGCUAGAUUCCAUUUACCUGGUGAGAGUUGUCCUUGCUGCAGACCUUAGAAAAAUUGCAGGAGUUUGUAACCCCAUAGGAAGAAAAACAAUAUCAACCAACCAGGACCCCCAGAACUCCCAGGGACUAAGCCAUCAACAAAGGAGUACACAUGGCUCCAGCUGCAUAUGUAGCAGAGGAUGACCUUGUCAUGCAUCAAUGGGAAGAGGGGUCCUUGAUCCUAAGAAGGCUCAAUAGAUGCCCCAGUGUAGGGGAAUCGAGGGUGGGGAGAGGAACACCCUCAUAGAAGCAGGGGAAGGGAGGAUGUGGUAGGGUGUUCCCGGGAGGGAGGGAAGCAGGGAAAGGGAUAAUAUUUGAAAUGUAAAUAAAGAGAAUAUCCAAUU